This 58-nucleotide transfer RNA is filed under the name Salmo salar (Atlantic salmon). It matches the Rfam family "tRNA", at positions 8 to 63 of the family's 71-position model. Rfam says of the family: Transfer RNA (tRNA) molecules are approximately 80 nucleotides in length. Their secondary structure includes four short double-helical elements and three loops (D, anti-codon, and T loops). Lineage: Eukaryota; Metazoa; Chordata; Actinopteri; Salmoniformes; Salmonidae. The record is from Rfam by way of RNAcentral.
UGGCUCAGUUGGCAGAGCAUGGUGUUUGCAAUGCCAGGGUUGUGGGUUGGAUUCCCAC